CUUCACUUGAAGGUGUGAAAAGAACAGCCUGACUCUGAGAGAAGGGAGAGUGAAGGAGCAAAUGUGGGCAACAGCUGUCAGUGACACAUCAUUACCCCAACAGCCAGAAACAAGAUAAGCGCCUUGCAGGGGCCCUUAACUGACUGCUGGGUUCGAUGGUUCAAAGAGAAAAAGCACGUGAUAACUUUGAAGGAGGCUGCCUGGCUGAGCUGAUCGGAUCACCUAGAGACUGGAAAUGCUUUCUGGUGCCUGAUCCUCUACUGGGUGUUCAACACUGGCUGCAUUUAUGGAGACCACAGACAAAAGAUGGAAACAGCCUCCACCGGCAUGGGGAUCAGGCAUGGGGCAAACACAGGAGACAAAACAGGAGAAUCUCCCGAGAACACCCUCUGAUCAGCACUCUGCAUGCAAUUUCCAUCUCAGACUCUGUUUCUAGGAAGACUUUCAGGCAGCUGACACUGGACGUGGUUGUGAGUUGCAGGCCCUAAUGAAAAAUUGGAGAGGAAGCAGGUGGCCGGCUGAUGAAAUGAUAACCAGAAGGCCUGUGGGCUUGGGUGGCUGAGGCUGAGGCUACUGAGUGUUGAAGAGAGAGAGGCAGAGGCGCAGGAUGACUCAUCACUGGUUUCAGGCAAACUGUGAAAGCCAGAGCACUUCCUUGGCAGCAUUUAAGAAAACCCCGAUGAUCUGCAGCUGGAAGGCAGGUUGGCUGGAGGACCAGUCUGAACCCUGAGUAGGUUAAGUUCUCAGUCCUUCAGACACAGGGCUCUAAUGGGAAAGAGGUGAGACCCUUACACUUAGGGUGGGAGCCCUGGACAGUUGGGAACCCUGAACACUUACAUGCCCCUGAGUCCCCUGGGCCUGCAGAAAUGGCCUAUUUCUCAUGUCAUGUAGAAGAUUGUAGACUGCUUGAACCUGGGAGGCGGAGCUUGCAGUGAGCCCAGAUUGCACCAUUGCACUCCAGCCUGGGCAACAGAGCGAGACUCGGUCAAAAAAAAAAAAAAAAAAAAGCAAGACUUUCCUUUUCUGAAGAUCAUACAGAGGUCUCAAAUGAGUCUGAAGUCACCUGCCCUAUCUGGACAUUCCAUAGACUACCACUUUUACCCACGACUUCGAUGUGGCAUGCUCAUUGGACCAGAUAAGCAAGCAGUGGCAAGUGGAUUGGAGGUCUUGGUAACCAGUUCAACCAAAAUCCUGGGACAGCUGUUCCCUGAUGCGGCACACUUCCUAGAAGAAGCAAGUGAAUUUAAAGCAGAGUGAACUGUAGAGGAGUUCACGACCAAAUCUCUGAUGCUUUCCCCAGAUCUUUCUUCAGGGCCAACACAUCCAUUGCUCAGCUGUGAUAGACAGCAGUCAGGGGUGGCUCACCUCUCUCACUGGGAAUUGCUCUCAGCAGUAGGGAACUCAUUCAGGGUUAAGGCAUCUCCUUGAGGAGGCCCAUGUUCAAUUACUGGUUGACACAGGAAUAUGAAGGCCUGGCCCUCGUCUCAGCUUGGAAUAAAUCUGAAGGCCCAUCACAGCUUCAGAGAUGCUUGGAGAAGGCUGAGGUCUCCCCUGUAACCUUAUGAGAACCUUGAGUUGUUGAACUCAUUAAUUCUUUGGGACCAUCUUCCUGAUGUUCAAGUUUGUGAAACAGGCUUUCCCUUUAAGAUUUGUUUUCCUCAAAAUACAAGACUAUUGAUGCUUCAGUUUUGAAGUGGAUUCUGCACUCAAGAAAUGUACCAUUGAAGAAUGGGACUGGUAGGAAGGGAAAAAAACUAAAAGGAAACGCAUUUUCGAGUUGCACAUCAUGAUCAGGCACAGAGUCCAGAUACACUUGGAGUAGCAAGCAUCCAUCCUUGUGGAGACGCACAUGAACCAGGACUCUCUGCACCCACCCCUCUCAAGUUUUAUUUUCCGACGGCUGUAAUGUUCCAGGACACCUGCCAUCAUGGAGGGUUAUCCAGCACCUGGAGGAUACCUGCUACCUGGUGAAGGACUUUAGUACGAUGGUCAAGACAAGAACCGUGGAGUCAGAAUGCCUGCAUGCAGAUCUCAUCACCAUGGGGCCCUGAUGAUGGUUGCCUUCAACAUUGCCUCAAUACUCAACAUCCAAGACAGCCCUGGCUUAGCAACUGGAAUCACGGAUGGGGAAAAUUUUUUCUCAAGCACAUGUGAAAUUUGGCUGUCAGACCACCUUCAUCUGCACAGAAAGCUAAAUGUAUUGCCUAGUUUUGCAACUUCAUAUGACUGUUCGCCAAACUGGAAUAAUUGUUGCAUUUGUGUGUGACUUCUCAGUAUUCCUAUGGCAUUACCACCAUAGCACCCCUAUGUCAAAUGGUGAAAGAAUUAGGUGAGGUUUUGUGAACGUUUAGAGUAACUUUGUUUUUUUGCAUCAACAUUCAAGAAGCACUCCUUCCCUUCCACUGCAGUAGAACCUUGAG
Molecule: long non-coding RNA, 2420 nt
Filed under: Homo sapiens (human)
Lineage: Eukaryota; Metazoa; Chordata; Mammalia; Primates; Hominidae
Description: HSALNT0300219
Source: RNAcentral